RNAcentral lists this ribosomal RNA (33 nucleotides) under Pyrenula cf. paraminarum CG3068. RNAcentral describes it as "partial small subunit ribosomal RNA". The record is from RNAcentral. Lineage: Eukaryota; Fungi; Ascomycota; Eurotiomycetes; Pyrenulales; Pyrenulaceae.
GGUUUCCGUAGUGAACCUGCGGAAGGAUCAAUG